This 253-nucleotide ribosomal RNA is filed under the name uncultured bacterium. Its description in RNAcentral is "partial 16S ribosomal RNA". It matches the Rfam family "Bacterial small subunit ribosomal RNA", at positions 524 to 776 of the family's 1533-position model. The record is from RNAcentral.
UACAGAGGUCUCAAGCGUUGUUCGGAUUCAUUGGGCGUAAAGGGUGUGUAGGUGGCGCCGUAAGUCGGGUGUGAAAUUUCGGAGCUUAACUCCGAAACUGCAUUCGAUACUGCGGUGCUUGAGGACUGGAGAGGAGACUGGAAUUCAUGGUGUAGCAGUGAAAUGCGUAGAGAUCAUGAGGAAGACCAGUGGCGAAGGCGGUUCUCUGGGCUGUAACUGACGCUGAGGCGCGAAAGCAUGGGGAGCAAACAGG